GCCUGUGGUACAUCGCAGCAGCGCUCUGCUGGUGAUGCGCCGCCUGCCUCGGCGAGCCCAGCAGCUCCGGCGCCAUGAACCCGGCGUGGUCGCUGAACCAGUAAGGGUUAGCUACUGAUGGGUCCUGCACUCCUGCUGAUGGGCACUGUAACUGUAACUAAUGUUCACCAGGUAUCUAUCUGAUACGAUGCAUUCUGUUACCUGCAUGUACUCUGUAUCCGUCAUGGAAUCAAUUCUUUGUUUUAGAUCA
Molecule: long non-coding RNA, 250 nt
Organism: Panicum virgatum (switchgrass)
Lineage: Eukaryota; Viridiplantae; Streptophyta; Magnoliopsida; Poales; Poaceae
Exons: 2
Source: RefSeq, a predicted model, not a curated record